CUCACGCCCGGUCGUACUC
Molecule: small nuclear RNA, 19 nt
Filed under: Arabidopsis thaliana (thale cress)
Lineage: Eukaryota; Viridiplantae; Streptophyta; Magnoliopsida; Brassicales; Brassicaceae
Description: snRNA_14800
Source: RNAcentral